This is a long non-coding RNA of Pecten maximus, 506 nucleotides long. RefSeq lists it as uncharacterized. The record is from RefSeq and is a predicted model, not a curated record. NCBI's taxonomy places the organism in Eukaryota, Metazoa, Mollusca, Bivalvia, Pectinida, Pectinidae. The transcript has 3 exons.
ACUACAUCGGUACUCAGAUCACUAGGUCUUCGUCGUCAGCAUGCGGUAACGGAUGAAGUAGUUCAAGCUAUACAGGAGCAAUGUGUUGACUCUUCAGCGCGAACUGGACCCGGACGGUGUUCGUAGCAGACAGAUGCACCGAAGGGCCGAAUUACCUUAUACAUGUAGAUGGCUAUGACAAACUGAAACGAUUUGGUUUUGCCAUUCACCGUGCAAUAUGCGGGCACAGUUGAUUAUAAGAUACUGGUGGGUAAUGAAGACAUCGAAGGAGUGAAAGAACUCUGUACUUCUGUUCAAGUUAAUUCUGAAGUAGUCACUGUAUUAUAACAGGAUAUGGGUGAGAAGAGGCUUAGAAAGCCAUCCACAUAUAGGGAAGCUCUGGAACUGCGGAGAACUAGUUCACUACUGGUACUAAGACAAUCUACAGAUAGCCUACACAAUGGCAUAGUAGAGCAAAAUUUGAGUGUGCUUUUUUCUGUCUCACUAUCAGGUCUACGUACAGAAAG